GCUUCCUACGGGAGGCAGCAGUAGGGAAUCUUCCGCAAUGGGCGAAAGCCUGACGGAGCAACGCCGCGUGAGUGAUGAAGGCCUUCGGGUUGUAAAACUCUGUCCUCUGUGAAGAACACUCCUGUGAGUAGAACGCUCAGGACCUGACGGUAACAGAGGAGGAAGCCCCGGCUAACUACGUGCCAGCAGCCGCGGUAAUACGUAGGGGGCAAGCGUUGUCCGGAAUCACUGGGCGUAAAGCGCGCGCAGGCGGCGAUCUGCGUCUGGGGUGAAAGCCCGGAGCUCAACUCCGGGAUUGCCUUGGAUACGGGGUCGCUUGAGGAUCGGAGAGGCAAGGGGAAUUCCACGUGUAGCGGUGAAAUGCGUAGAGAUGUGGAGGAACACCUGUGGCGAAGGCGCCUUGCUGGCCGAUUUCUGACGCUGAGGCGCGAAAGCGUGGGGAGCAAACAGGAUUAGAUACCCUGGUAGUCCACGCCGUAAACGAUGAGUGCUAGGUGUUGGGGGGUACCACCCUCAGUGCCGAAGCUAACGCAUUAAGCACUCCGCCUGGGGAGUACGGUCGCAAGACUGAAACUCAAAGGAAUUGACGGAAGC
Molecule: ribosomal RNA, 594 nt
Filed under: uncultured bacterium
Lineage: Bacteria
Description: bacterial SSU rRNA
Rfam family: Bacterial small subunit ribosomal RNA
Source: RNAcentral